GUGCUCACUUCAGCAACACAUAUACUAAACUUGGAAUGAUAGAGAGACGAUUAGCAGGCCCCUGAGCAAUGAGAACACACAUAUUUGUAAAACAUUCCAUAUAUUU
Dipodomys spectabilis (banner-tailed kangaroo rat) is the source of this 106-nucleotide small nuclear RNA. NCBI's taxonomy places the organism in Eukaryota, Metazoa, Chordata, Mammalia, Rodentia, Heteromyidae. The record is from RefSeq and is a predicted model, not a curated record.